UACGAAGGGUGCAAGCGUUGUUCGGAAUUACUGGGCGUAAAGCGCGCGUAGGCGGGUUAGUAAGUCGAUUGUGAAAGCCCUGGGCUUAACCUGGGAAUGGCAGUCGAAACUACUAAUCUUGAAUGUCUGAGAGGAUGGCGGAAUAACCGGUGUAGUAGUGAAAUACGUAGAUAUCGGUUAGAACACCUGAGGCGAAGGCGGCUAUCUGGCGGUACAUUGACGCUGAGGCGCGAAAGCGUGGGGAGCAAAC
RNAcentral lists this ribosomal RNA (250 nucleotides) under uncultured bacterium. RNAcentral describes it as "partial 16S ribosomal RNA". It matches the Rfam family "Bacterial small subunit ribosomal RNA", at positions 524 to 773 of the family's 1533-position model. The record is from RNAcentral.